Molecule: ribosomal RNA, 486 nt
Filed under: uncultured bacterium
Lineage: Bacteria
Description: partial 16S ribosomal RNA
Rfam family: Bacterial small subunit ribosomal RNA
Source: RNAcentral
GAUGAACGCUGGCGGCGUGCCUAAUACAUGCAAGUCGAACGCUGGAGAUCUAGCUUGCUAGAUCGAAGGAGUGGCGAACGGGUGAGUAAUACAUAAGCAACCUACCCACGAAGACUGGGAUAAUCUCUGGAAACGGGGACUAAUACCGGAUAGGUAAUCGGAAGGCAUCUUCUGGUUAUUAAAGGUUAAAAACACUGGUGGAUGGGCUUAUGGCGCAUUAGUUAGUUGGUGAGGUAACGGCCCACCAAGACGAUGAUGCGUAGCCGGCCUGAGAGGGCGAACGGCCACAUUGGGACUGAGACACGGCCCAGACUCCUACGGGAGGCAGCAGUAGGGAAUUUUCGGCAAUGGGGGCAACCCUGAUCGAGCAACGCCGCGUGAGUGAAGACGGCCUUCGGGUUGUAAAGCUCUGUUGUAAGGGAAGAACGGUAGAUAGAGAAUAUCUAAGUGACGGUACCUUACCAGAAAGCCACGGCUAACUACGUG